Molecule: non-coding RNA, 45 nt
Filed under: Nematostella vectensis (starlet sea anemone)
Lineage: Eukaryota; Metazoa; Cnidaria; Anthozoa; Actiniaria; Edwardsiidae
Source: RNAcentral
GCCAUGCUGACGAGUCCUAGUAAGGACGAAACAGCUGUCCAUGGU